This 333-nucleotide ribosomal RNA is filed under the name uncultured bacterium. Its description in RNAcentral is "bacterial SSU rRNA". It matches the Rfam family "Bacterial small subunit ribosomal RNA", at positions 29 to 362 of the family's 1533-position model. The record is from RNAcentral.
AUUGAACGCUGGCGGCAUGCUUUACACAUGCAAGUCGAACGGUAACAGGGAGCUUGCUCCGCUGACGAGUGGCGAACGGGUGAGUAAUGCAUCGGAACGUACCCAGUCGUGGGGGGAUAACGUAGCGAAAGUUACGCUAAUACCGCAUACGUCCUGAGGGAGAAAGCGGGGGACCGAAAGGCCUCGCGCGAUUGGAGCGGCCGAUGUCGGAUUAGCUAGUUGGUAGGGUAAAGGCCUACCAAGGCAACGAUCCGUAGCGGGUCUGAGAGGAUGAUCCGCCACACUGGGACGUGAGACACGGUCCAGACUCCUACGGAGGCAGCAGUGGGGAAG